CCGCGAUGAUGGCAUUUCUUAGGACACCUUUGGAUUAGCCGUGAAAACAGCUUUCAUCUGAGCGGC
Small nucleolar RNA from Nyctereutes procyonoides (raccoon dog), 66 nucleotides. RefSeq annotates it as small nucleolar RNA SNORD58. The record is from RefSeq and is a predicted model, not a curated record. The transcript has a single exon. Lineage: Eukaryota; Metazoa; Chordata; Mammalia; Carnivora; Canidae.